CAGUAGCCGCGGUAAUACGGAGGGAGCUAGCGUUGUUCGGAAUUACUGGGCGUAAAGCGCACGUAGGCGGCUUUGUAAGUUAGAGGUGAAAGCCUGGAGCUCAACUCCAGAAUUGCCUUUAAGACUGCAUCGCUUGAAUCCAGGAGAGGUGAGUGGAAUUCCGAGUGUAGAGGUGAAAUUCGUAGAUAUUCGGAAGAACACCAGUGGCGAAGGCGGCUCACUGGACUGGUAUUGACGCUGAGGUGCGAAAGCGUGGGGAGCAAACAGGAUUAGAUACCCCAGUAGUCCCUGUCUCUUAUAC
This 301-nucleotide ribosomal RNA is filed under the name uncultured bacterium. RNAcentral's name for it is "partial 16S ribosomal RNA". It matches the Rfam family "Bacterial small subunit ribosomal RNA", at positions 509 to 807 of the family's 1533-position model. The record is from RNAcentral.